This 714-nucleotide ribosomal RNA is filed under the name Triticum aestivum (bread wheat). RNAcentral's name for it is "partial small subunit ribosomal RNA". Lineage: Eukaryota; Viridiplantae; Streptophyta; Magnoliopsida; Poales; Poaceae. The record is from RNAcentral.
AUGGCUGGUAAUUUCUCCUCUCAGAAUUAUGAUAAGGGGAUGCAGAGGCUUCCUGCGGUAGCUGAGAGUGAAGAAGAAGAGGAAAGUGAAGAAGAUAACAACACUGAACUGCUGAUUGAGACUAUGGCCAGAGAACAUGCAGCUAAAAAAAUGUCUUAUUGUGGCUCUCAAUCUGGUAAAAUAUCGUGUGAGAAUGUCUUUGAGGAUCUGGAUGUCGAAGAGAUGACUGAAUCUCCCAGUAAUGAGAUCAGUAUACAUAAAGGUGCUUGGGGGAUGAUUACUCCUGUUCCACCCUCACCUUUGUUUGUCUGUCAUGAUGUGAAUACUUAUGGGAAUGCAUUUCCUCCCUUGUCAGACUAUGUGGUUUGGCCUUCCCUGCCUCAUAUUGUGCCUCUUGAGGAGGGAUUCAUGGAAGGAUGUGAAAACUGUAGUGUCUAUACAGUUGAAUCUCCCUCUGGAUCACCAAUUCAUGAUAGCAUGAGUCAAGACGAGGAUGUCCCACGCAGACAGAAGCAGAAGCUGGAGAAGGUGGGAGAUGUGGCUGCCAACAGAAUGAGGAAGCGUAAUUUGGAAGGUUUGCUAAAGGAAGAAGAAAAGGUGAAGCUCCAGGCUGGAGUGAAGAGGUUGACUCACGCGGCUGCUGCGCUGGCGGACAGAUCUCUUCCUCGAGGCAGGCCCCUCUUAGGAGACAGAGAUGGGAUCCAGAUUGGUUAG